UUGACCUCGGAUCAGGUAGGAAUACCCGCUGAACUUAAGCAUAUCAUAGUCCGGAGAGAAAAA
Molecule: ribosomal RNA, 63 nt
Filed under: Fusarium proliferatum
Lineage: Eukaryota; Fungi; Ascomycota; Sordariomycetes; Hypocreales; Nectriaceae
Description: partial 28S ribosomal RNA
Source: RNAcentral